CAAGCGUUAUUCGGAAUUAUUGGGCGUAAAGCGUCCGCAGGUGGUAAUUCAAGUCUGCGGUCAAAGACCGAAGCUCAACUUCGGGAAGGCAGUGGAAACUGAAUAACUAGAGUACGGUAGGGGUUGAGGGAAUUUCCAGUGUAGCGGUGAAGUGCGUAGAGAUUGGAAAGAACACCAGUGGCGAAGGCGCUCAACUGGACCGUAACUGACACUCAGGGACGAAAGCUAGGGUAGCGAAAGGGAUUAGAUACCCCUGUAGUCCUAGCUGUAAACGAUGGAUACUAGGCGUUGCUUGUAUCGACCCGAGCAGUGCCGUAGCCAACGCGUUAAGUAUCCCGCCUGGGGAGUACGCACGCAAGUGUGAAACUCAAAGGAAUUGACGGGGGCCCGCACAAGCGGUGGAGUAUGUGGUUUAAUUCGAUGCAACGCGAAGAACCUUACCAGGGCUUGACAUCCCGCGAACUUCUCGGAAAGGAGAAGGUGCCUUAGGGAGCGCGGAGACAGGUGGUGCAUGGCUGUCGUCAGCUCGUGUCGUGAGAUGUUGGGUUAAGUCCCGCAACGAGCGCAACCCUCGUCCUUAGUUGCCAGCAUUAAGUUGGGCACUUUAGGGAGACUGCCGGUGACAAACCGGAGGAAGGCGGGGAUGACGUCAAGUCAGCAUGCCCCUUACGCCCUGGGCGACACACGUACUACAAUGGUCAGGACAAAGGGCAGCCAACUCGCAAGAGUGAGCGAAUCUCAUCAAACCUGGCCUCAGUUCAGAUUGCAGGCUGCAACUCGCCUGCAUGAAGGAGGAA
This 797-nucleotide ribosomal RNA is filed under the name uncultured cyanobacterium. RNAcentral describes it as "bacterial SSU rRNA". It matches the Rfam family "Bacterial small subunit ribosomal RNA", at positions 535 to 1331 of the family's 1533-position model. The record is from RNAcentral. Lineage: Bacteria; Bacillati; Cyanobacteriota.